RNAcentral lists this ribosomal RNA (301 nucleotides) under uncultured bacterium. RNAcentral describes it as "partial 16S ribosomal RNA". It matches the Rfam family "Bacterial small subunit ribosomal RNA", at positions 509 to 809 of the family's 1533-position model. The record is from RNAcentral.
CAGCCGCCACGGUAAAACGGAGGGUGCAAGCGUUAAUCGGAAUUACUGGGCGUAAAGCGCACGCAGGCGGUCUGACAAGUCAGAUGUGAAAUCCCCGGGCUUAACCUGGGAACUGCAUUUGAAACUGUCAGGCUGGAGUCUUGUAGAGGGGGGUGGAAUUCCAGGUGUAGCGGUGAAAUGCGUAGAGAUCUGGAGGAAUACCGGUGGCGAAGGCGGCCCCCUGGACAAAGACUGACGCUCGGGUGCGAAAGCGUGGGGAGCAAACAGGAUUAGAUACCCGGGUAGUCCCUGUCUCUUAUAU